AAAGGAUGACCCUGACCUGUGUUCGAGCACGGCCAGUUCAGACAUCUUUUUGGUGGUGCUGACAAAAUUAAAUUUGCUGGCCCAAGGGUUUGGAUUUGUGGCAUCUAAACAAGCUGGACAGAAACUGUGCCUCAGGGAGAAACAUCCUCUCAAGUAGUUGAAAAUAAACUUGCUUGGCAUGCCUUGUGUAUUACACGCAUUCAGCUGUGCACGUGGUGGGAACGGGGCAUUAGACAUGGCUCAAAAUGAGACAAGAAUCUCUGUAUGCCAGAAAGGUUUUCUUUGGCCCCUCUUCAGAGAUGGUUGGCAAAGGUGAAAACAAAAUGAA
Molecule: long non-coding RNA, 328 nt
Organism: Cygnus olor (mute swan)
Lineage: Eukaryota; Metazoa; Chordata; Aves; Anseriformes; Anatidae
Exons: 3
Source: RefSeq, a predicted model, not a curated record